GACAUGAACCCCCUAAAGCCCCAGAACUAUCUUUUUGGUUAUGAGCUAAACACUGACAAAGUUUCUCACUUUAAUGUGAAUAAUGAUGAAAAAACUACAGUUAUCUUUAAGAAUAGUCACUUUAGGGGCUGAUACAUAGGAUGAAUCGCACAUUGCUGAAGCAGAGGCAAUGAAUUACAAAGGUGGUCCGAUUGAAAUAACACUGGCACUUUGAAAAUGUCUAUACAGCCAGUGGUUUCCCUUAGGGGCUUUGAAAUACCACCACCCGUGGUCUUAUGGUUGAAGCGUGGUUCAGGGCCAGGGCAUAUUAGUGGACAGCACUUAGUAGCUGUGGAGGAAGAGGCAGAGUGAGAAGAUGAAGAGGAGGAGAAUAUGAAGCUCUUAAGUAUACCUGGAAAGCAAUCCGCCCCUAGAAAUGGUAGUGAGGUUCCACAGAAAAAAAGGAAAACAUGCUGCUGAUGAAGAUGAUAAUAAUAGAGAUGAUGAAGAUGAAGAUGAUGAUUUUAAUUAUGAUGAAACUGAAAAAAUACCUCCAGUGAAGAAGUCUAUAUGAGAUACUUCAGCCAAAAAUGCACAAACAUCUAACCAGAAGGAAGAAGACUCAACACCAUCAGCACCAACAUCAGAAGGUCAAGAAUCACUCAAAAAAAAAAAAAAGGGAAAAAAAAAACUAAAACACCAAAAGGACCUUGUUCUGUGGAAGAAGACAUUAGAGCAAAAAUGCAAGCAACUGUAGAAAAAGAGACUUCUCUUCCCAAAGUGGAAGCCAAAUUUAUCAAUCACGUGAAGGACUGCUUCUGGAUGACCGACCAGGAAGCUGUUCAAGGUCUCUGGCAGUAGAUGAAGUCUCUUUAA
Molecule: long non-coding RNA, 855 nt
Filed under: Homo sapiens (human)
Lineage: Eukaryota; Metazoa; Chordata; Mammalia; Primates; Hominidae
Description: non-protein coding lnc-THSD7A-2:1
Source: RNAcentral